Molecule: ribosomal RNA, 485 nt
Filed under: uncultured bacterium
Lineage: Bacteria
Description: partial 16S ribosomal RNA
Rfam family: Bacterial small subunit ribosomal RNA
Source: RNAcentral
GAUGAACGCUGGCGGCGUGCCUAACACAUGCAAGUCGAACGGAAAGGCUCCUGCCUUCCGGGGCACUCGAGUGGCGCACGGGUGAGUAACACGUGGGUGUUCCGUCCCUCACUUCGGGAUAAGCCUGGGAAACUGGGGCUAAUAUCGGAUAGGACCUCAUGAUGGACGGUGUGGUGUAAAGUAAUUCGGUUUUGGUUGAGCUUGCGGCGUAUCAGCUUGUUGGUUGGGUAAUGGCCUACCAAGGCGACGACGGGUAGCCGGCCUGAGAGGGUGUACGGCCACACUGGAACUGAGACACGGUCCAGAGGCCUACGGGAGGCAGCAGGAGGGAAGCGUGCGCAAGGGGCGAAAGCCUGACGGAGCAACGCCGCGUGAGUGAUGAAGGUCUUCGGAGCGGAAAACUCUGUUAUUAGGGAAGAACAAAUGUGUAAGUAACUAUGAACGUCUUGACGGUACCUAAUGAGAAAGCCACGGCUAACUACGUG